AGAAAACCCAAAUUCAUCUCAUGCUUCUCAAUGGACAAAGCUCAUCGUUUUUCAGUUUUUUUAUUUGCUUUUCUUGUUUGCUUUCUCUUUGCUUUCAACUGCUGCUGUUGUUUUCACUGUAGCAUCAAUUUACACUACAAAGCCUGUGUCUUUUUCAUCUACCUUAGCUGCAAUUCCCAGUGUUUUCAAGAGGCUUUUUAUCACCUUCAUAUGGGUUUCUCUUUCUAUGUUGGCUUAUAAUACUGUUUUCUUGAUUUUUCUUGUGCUUCUCAUUGUAGCAGCAGAUACCCAGAAUGUGGUUUUGUUCCUUUUCUCCUUUUUGGUUGUCUUUAUACUCUUUCUUGUAGUUCAUGUUUACUUCAGCGCAUUGUGGCAUUUGGCCAGUGUGGUGUCUGUUCUUGAGCCUAUUUAUGGUAUAGGAGCUAUGAAGAAGAGCUAUCAGUUGUUGAAAGGGAAGACAGGAAUGGCAUUUUUCUUUGUUUUUGGAUAUUUGUCUAUUUGUGGGGUAAUUAAUGGGUUUUUUGGGUCUGUUGUGGUUCAUGGAGGUGAUAAUUAUGGUGUGAUUUCAAGGAUUUUGAUUGGUGGGUUCUUGGUUGGAGUAUUGGUGAUUGUGAAUCUUGUGGGGCUUUUGAUGCAAAGUGUGUUUUACUAUGUUUGCAAGAGCUACCAUCAUCAAGAGAUAGAUAAGACUGCUCUCUACGAUCAUCUUGGUGGAUACCUUGGGGAAUAUGUGCCUCUGAAAAGCAGCGUGCAGAUGGAGAACUUAGAAGGCGGUCCCUUGACGCCAUGAUGGUGAGAAAGGCUGAAUCCUUGUGAUUUUAUUCGAAUUUGUUGCAUGAUAUAUUGACGAGGAAUCGUAAAGACAUUAACUUUGGAGUAGGUUGUUGUGUUUGGGCACUUGAAUUUGUUUGUAUACAUAAUAAAUAACUUUGUUUUUUGUGCUUUCUUGUUAAAUUUCAUUAAUAUGCACCAUUAGU
Molecule: unclassified non-coding RNA, 977 nt
Filed under: Hevea brasiliensis (rubber tree)
Lineage: Eukaryota; Viridiplantae; Streptophyta; Magnoliopsida; Malpighiales; Euphorbiaceae
Source: RNAcentral